GCUGGAGGAGCGCAGUUGGUCGAGCGUGAGACUCCUAAUCUCAGGGUCGUGGGUUCGAGCUUCAUGUUGGGCA
Molecule: non-coding RNA, 73 nt
Organism: Podarcis lilfordi (Lilford's wall lizard)
Lineage: Eukaryota; Metazoa; Chordata; Lepidosauria; Squamata; Lacertidae
Source: the annotation of a GenBank genome assembly